UGGGGAAUUUUGCGCAAUGGGCGAAAGCCUGACGCAGCAACGCCGCGUGGAGGAUGAAGGCCCUUGGGUUGUAAACUCCUGUCAGCGGGGAAGAAAUGCUCCGACCUAAUACGUCGGGGAGUUGACUGUACCCGCAGAGGAAGCCCCGGCUAACUCUGUGCCAGCAGCCGCGGGUAAUACAGAGGGGGCAAGCGUUAUUCGGAAUUAUUGGGCGUAAAGGGCGCGUAGGCGGCAUGGCAAGUGGAAGGUGAAAUCCCUCGGCUCAACUGAGGAACUGACCUUCCAAACUGCUUUGCUUGAGUCCGGGAGAGGUGAGUGGAAUUCCCAGUGUAGCGGUGAAAUGCGUAGAUAUUGGGAGGAACACCAGUGGCGAAGGCGGCUCACUGGACCGGAACUGACGCUGAGGCGCGAAAGCGUGGGGAGCAAACGGGAUUAGAUACCCCGGUAGUCCACGCUGUAAACGAUGAGUGCUUGGUGUAGCGGGUAUCGACCCCUGCUGUGACCG
This 505-nucleotide ribosomal RNA is filed under the name uncultured Acidobacteriota bacterium. RNAcentral describes it as "bacterial SSU rRNA". It matches the Rfam family "Bacterial small subunit ribosomal RNA", at positions 355 to 849 of the family's 1533-position model. The record is from RNAcentral. Lineage: Bacteria; Pseudomonadati; Acidobacteriota.